This 2928-nucleotide ribosomal RNA is filed under the name Staphylococcus aureus. RNAcentral describes it as "23S ribosomal RNA". It matches the Rfam family "Bacterial large subunit ribosomal RNA". Lineage: Bacteria; Bacillati; Bacillota; Bacilli; Caryophanales; Staphylococcaceae. The record is from RNAcentral.
AGAUUAAGUUAUUAAGGGCGCACGGUGGAUGCCUUGGCACUAGAAGCCGAUGAAGGACGUUACUAACGACGAUAUGCUUUGGGGAGCUGUAAGUAAGCUUUGAUCCAGAGAUUUCCGAAUGGGGAAACCCAGCAUGAGUUAUGUCAUGUUAUCGAUAUGUGAAUACAUAGCAUAUCAGAAGGCACACCCGGAGAACUGAAACAUCUUAGUACCCGGAGGAAGAGAAAGAAAAUUCGAUUCCCUUAGUAGCGGCGAGCGAAACGGGAAGAGCCCAAACCAACAAGCUUGCUUGUUGGGGUUGUAGGACACUCUAUACGGAGUUACAAAGGACGACAUUAGACGAAUCAUCUGGAAAGAUGAAUCAAAGAAGGUAAUAAUCCUGUAGUCGAAAAUGUUGUCUCUCUUGAGUGGAUCCUGAGUACGACGGAGCACGUGAAAUUCCGUCGGAAUCUGGGAGGACCAUCUCCUAAGGCUAAAUACUCUCUAGUGACCGAUAGUGAACCAGUACCGUGAGGGAAAGGUGAAAAGCACCCCGGAAGGGGAGUGAAAUAGAACCUGAAACCGUGUGCUUACAAGUAGUCAGAGCCCGUUAAUGGGUGAUGGCGUGCCUUUUGUAGAAUGAACCGGCGAGUUACGAUUUGAUGCAAGGUUAAGCAGUAAAUGUGGAGCCGUAGCGAAAGCGAGUCUGAAUAGGGCGUUUAGUAUUUGGUCGUAGACCCGAAACCAGGUGAUCUACCCUUGGUCAGGUUGAAGUUCAGGUAACACUGAAUGGAGGACCGAACCGACUUACGUUGAAAAGUGAGCGGAUGAACUGAGGGUAGCGGAGAAAUUCCAAUCGAACCUGGAGAUAGCUGGUUCUCUCCGAAAUAGCUUUAGGGCUAGCCUCAAGUGAUGAUUAUUGGAGGUAGAGCACUGUUUGGACGAGGGGCCCCUCUCGGGUUACCGAAUUCAGACAAACUCCGAAUGCCAAUUAAUUUAACUUGGGAGUCAGAACAUGGGUGAUAAGGUCCGUGUUCGAAAGGGAAACAGCCCAGACCACCAGCUAAGGUCCCAAAAUAUAUGUUAAGUGGAAAAGGAUGUGGUGUUGCCCAGACAACUAGGAUGUUGGCUUAGAAGCAGCCAUCAUUUAAAGAGUGCGUAAUAGCUCACUAGUCGAGUGACACUGCGCCGAAAAUGUACCGGGGCUAAACAUAUUACCGAAGCUGUGGAUUGUCCUUUGGACAAUGGUAGGAGAGCGUUCUAAGGGCGUUGAAGCAUGAUCGUAAGGACAUGUGGAGCGCUUAGAAGUGAGAAUGCCGGUGUGAGUAGCGAAAGACGGGUGAGAAUCCCGUCCACCGAUUGACUAAGGUUUCCAGAGGAAGGCUCGUCCGCUCUGGGUUAGUCGGGUCCUAAGCUGAGGCCGACAGGCGUAGGCGAUGGAUAACAGGUUGAUAUUCCUGUACCACCUAUAAUCGUUUUAAUCGAUGGGGGGGACGCAGUAGGAUAGGCGAAGCGUGCGAUUGGAUUGCACGUCUAAGCAGUAAGGCUGAGUAUUAGGCAAAUCCGGUACUCAUUAAGGCUGAGCUGUGAUGGGGAGAAGACAUUGUGUCUUCGAGUCGUUGAUUUCACACUGCCGAGAAAAGCCUCUAGAUAGAAAAUAGGUGCCCGUACCGCAAACCGACACAGGUAGUCAAGAUGAGAAUUCUAAGGUGAGCGAGCGAACUCUCGUUAAGGAACUCGGCAAAAUGACCCCGUAACUUCGGGAGAAGGGGUGCUCUUUAGGGUUAACGCCCAGAAGAGCCGCAGUGAAUAGGCCCAAGCGACUGUUUAUCAAAAACACAGGUCUCUGCUAAACCGUAAGGUGAUGUAUAGGGGCUGACGCCUGCCCGGUGCUGGAAGGUUAAGAGGAGUGGUUAGCUUCUGCGAAGCUACGAAUCGAAGCCCCAGUAAACGGCGGCCGUAACUAUAACGGUCCUAAGGUAGCGAAAUUCCUUGUCGGGUAAGUUCCGACCCGCACGAAAGGCGUAACGAUUUGGGCACUGUCUCAACGAGAGACUCGGUGAAAUCAUAGUACCUGUGAAGAUGCAGGUUACCCGCGACAGGACGGAAAGACCCCGUGGAGCUUUACUGUAGCCUGAUAUUGAAAUUCGGCACAGCUUGUACAGGAUAGGUAGGAGCCUUUGAAACGUGAGCGCUAGCUUACGUGGAGGCGCUGAUGGGAUACUACCCUAGCUGUGUUGGCUUUCUAACCCGCACCACUUAUCGUGGUGGGAGACAGUGUCAGGCGGGCAGUUUGACUGGGGCGGUCGCCUCCUAAAAGGUAACGGAGGCGCUCAAAGGUUCCCUCAGAAUGGUUGGAAAUCAUUCAUAGAGUGUAAAGGCAUAAGGGAGCUUGACUGCGAGACCUACAAGUCGAGCAGGGUCGAAAGACGGACUUAGUGAUCCGGUGGUUCCGCAUGGAAGGGCCAUCGCUCAACGGAUAAAAGCUACCCCGGGGAUAACAGGCUUAUCUCCCCCAAGAGUUCACAUCGACGGGGAGGUUUGGCACCUCGAUGUCGGCUCAUCGCAUCCUGGGGCUGUAGUCGGUCCCAAGGGUUGGGCUGUUCGCCCAUUAAAGCGGUACGCGAGCUGGGUUCAGAACGUCGUGAGACAGUUCGGUCCCUAUCCGUCGUGGGCGUAGGAAAUUUGAGAGGAGCUGUCCUUAGUACGAGAGGACCGGGAUGGACAUACCUCUGGUGUACCAGUUGUCGUGCCAACGGCAUAGCUGGGUAGCUAUGUGUGGACGGGAUAAGUGCUGAAAGCAUCUAAGCAUGAAGCCCCCCUCAAGAUGAGAUUUCCCAACUUCGGUUAUAAGAUCCCUCAAAGAUGAUGAGGUUAAUAGGUUCGAGGUGGAAGCAUGGUGACAUGUGGAGCUGACGAAUACUAAUCGAUCGAAGACUUAAUCAAAUU